UCUUUACAACUUGCUUUUAUCUUGCCAGAAUAAGAAACUUAAAAAUGUGUUUUUGUUAUAGCUAAAGACCAUGUUUUAGCUGGUAUCUUCCACAAGGAGAGAACAACCUGCAACCUCCUGGAUUCUCUCUUUAGCUUUGUGCUCCUGAGGCAAAAAGUGACACUGGCCCCACUUUGAUCUACAGACAUGAUAUCAUCUACAGGGUGCACCCAGCGCCAAACUGCUGCAUUCUUUUGACCAAAACAGUGGUUUUGUGCAGCCUUACAGAUGCAGGCUGAAUAGCUUCAGAGUUGGCCUGUGUCUUCACAAACAGGGCCCGGCUCAAGAUUAAUUUCCUCCAAGACUCCCUCUUUCACGAAUUUACCUCACUCAGCCAUUCCCUUCCACCGCAUCUGCUGAUUACUCAUCUGAUGCUCUUUGUUCUGCUCUGCCAUGCACUGUUAUGUUUUACCUCGUGAUCAUUCUCUAGAUUUUUACUUUAUCCUUCAGCUAAAUUAAAACUGCCUUGAAAGUAGGGCCUGUCUACUUCUUUUGUGUACUUCUAUAGCACAUAAGUAUAGUGCAAUAGGUACAUAGCUUCUUCAUAAAAGAGGAAUGCUUUGUGGUUAUUGUCUUGGGGCUGGGAUCCUGCCUUUGCUUUCUGUGCCUGAAAACCAGACUCGCCGCUUCCACACCAUGGGAUGUCCCCAGUCUGCUCUGGUGUUGGCGUGCUGCCCUGCUAUAUUCUUCUCUGCUCUGACCCCAGAAAUCGGUCACAAGUUUCUCUCCUAACAUCCCAUGGAUUUGAUUUUCCCAAAGGUUAGAUUUUCCAUAAUCAAGAUAGUAAGGGUAGGGAGGCACAGAA
Molecule: long non-coding RNA, 844 nt
Organism: Bubalus bubalis (water buffalo)
Lineage: Eukaryota; Metazoa; Chordata; Mammalia; Artiodactyla; Bovidae
Exons: 3
Source: RefSeq, a predicted model, not a curated record